UGAAAAAUAUUAAAUAUUCUUAAAAAGGAUAACUAGAAACACAAUUAUUUAAUAGUUUACACUUUAUCAUAAGUGAGGUUAAGAAUUGGUGCGUAGCUAUUUAUAGUAAGAUAUUCGUACAUGCUUAUUUUAUAAGUUAAACCUUUGACCUUAUGGUUAUUUGUUAUGUUUUGAAUUGAAACAUCUUAUUAAAAAUUAUAGAAAAAAUCAACCGAGAUUCCAUUAGUAUUGGCGAAAGAAUAUGGAUAAGACUUUUUAGAAUAAAUUAUAUAUAAUUUUUAACGGUUAUAUUAUUGGUAUUAUUCCGAUUAUAUUAUUUAUUUUAAAUAAAUUAAAAGUAGAUAGUUUCAAAAUUAUUGAAUAUAGGGGCAUCACCCUCUAAGUCUAAAUAUGGUUGUGUUAUCAAUAGUGGAAAGUACCGUGAGGGAAAGUAUAAAUAUUAAAUGAAUAUUUAUUUUUGAAAUUUUAAGAAUUUACCGUUAUUUAAAAGGUGUACCUUUUGCAUAAUGAGCCGGGGAGUUUUAUUAUAUAGCAAGUUUUAUAAUAUGUAGACUUAUAAAGUUAUUUAAUAAAGACCCGAAACUAAGUGAUCUAACCAUGAGCAGGUUGAAGUAAUUAGAAUUAUGGAGGACCGAACUCGUACAUGUUGCAAUAUGUUGGGAUGACUUGUGGUUAGGGGUGAAAGGCCAAUCAAACUUAGAUAUAGCUGGUUUUCUGCGAAAUUUAUAUUAGUAAAGCGAUAAUAUCAUAAGGAAGGUAUAGUAACAGCCUGAUCUCAGUGGAAUUUUUCUGAAUUUUCUUGUUAUUAGGUUAACUAAAAAUGUUCGUAUAUUAUUAGUGAGACAUUUAAUGGCAAAGUUAUAUGUCAAAAGGGAAACAGCCCAGAACGUAGAUUAAUGUCUUAAAAUAUAAUCUAAGUGAAAAGAAUUAUAUAUUUGUUAAUGAGGUAAGCUUGGAAGCGGCUAUCCUUUAAAGAAAGCGUAAAAGCUCAAUUAAUAUAUAUAUGGUUUAAAAAUAUAUAGAGGCUAAGAUUAUUACAGAAAUUACGUUAAUAUUUUUUAUUAGGUAGCAGAACAUUUUGUAUGUCGUAGAAGAUGUGUUGUAAAACAUGUUGGAGAUAUCAUUAUAGUGGAUCCCGGUAUGAGUAUCAUAAAAUAAAGUUUAAAUCUUUAUGACUGUAAACUUAAGGUUUUCAUUUCUUAGGAUUAUCCGAAAUGAGUUAGUCGGUUCCUAAAAAAUAAAAUAAAAUUAAUUUUGAUGGAGAUUGCUAUUUAUUAUUUAUUUUAGUAUUAAAGUACUGGAAAUUUUAAUAGUAAUUAUAACCGUACUGUAAAUCGACUCUGAUAAGUGGGUAGAAAAUACUAAAGUUUCGAGAUAAUUUCUCUAAAGGAACUCGGCAAAUUGACUCCGAACCUUUGGAAUUAGGAGGACCCUUAAUAAAUUAUAUUAUUAAGAGGAAUUAUAAAAUUAAGGAGAAGCGACUGUUUAACAAAAACACAGGACUUUGAAAAAUUGUAAAAUGAUUGAUAAAGUCUGACGCCUGCCCGGUGCUACAAAGUGAAGUUAAAGAAUAUAAAAGUUUUUUAUAUAAGCUCUAGCAAACGGCGGCCUUAUAACUGAGGGUCCUAAGGUAGCGAAAUUCCUUGUCGGGUAAAUUCCGACGUGCAUGAAUGGCGUAACGACUUCUUCACUGUCUCUAGAGAAAUCUUGGUGAAAUUGGAUUUUCUGUGAACAUACGGAAAAUUAGCAGGUAGACGGAAAGACCCUGUGCACCUUUACUUCAACCAUAAAUUGGGUUAGUUUUAAUAUUAUCUUUAUUAUGUGGUGGAUUUAUCUUAAGUGUAAUACCACUUAAUAUUAAAAUUAAUUCUUAUUUGUAAAAAGACAUUUUAUGGGUGGUAGUUUGACUGGGGAGGUCUCCUCCAAAAGAGUAACGGAGGAGUGCAAAAAUAAGAAGCAAAAAAACGUAGUUUUUUGUAGAGCGCAAUAGCGAUGUCUUAUUAAUUGAUAAAUUUACAAAUUUGUCAAUAACUUUUUUUGGUUUGUUAUAGUGAUCCGGUAUUUAAUAAGUGGUAUGAAUAUCGCUCAACGGAUAAAAGGUACGCCAGGGAUAACAGGCUAAUAACUUUCAAGAGUUCUUAUCGACGAAGUUGUUUGGCACCUCGAUGUCGGCUCAUCACAUCCUGGGGCUGUAGGUGGUCCCAAGGGUUCGACUGUUCUUCGAUUAAAGUGGUACGUGAGCUGGGUUCAGAACGUCGUGAGACAGUUCGGUCCCUAUCUUCUGCUAUGUUUAGAAGUAAGUAGAAAAGCCUUUUUAGUACGAGAGGAGAAAAGGGCGUUGAUCUAUGGUGUGUCUGUUAUUAUAAAUUUUUUUAUAGUAUAUCGCAGAGUAGCUACAUCAAUAAUUGAAUAAUUUAAUUUAAAGAAUUCAAUUCUAUAUUACUUCUUAUGAGACUGGUUAUAGAUUAUAACUAUAUAGGUUUAAUAUGUAAUAUUCGUGAGAAUUUAAGUAUAUAAAUACUAAAAGUCCAAUUUUUUUAAAAA
Molecule: ribosomal RNA, 2544 nt
Filed under: Acavomonas peruviana
Lineage: Eukaryota; Colponemida; Acavomonidia
Description: large subunit ribosomal RNA
Rfam family: Bacterial large subunit ribosomal RNA
Source: RNAcentral